Molecule: long non-coding RNA, 374 nt
Filed under: Ursus thibetanus thibetanus
Lineage: Eukaryota; Metazoa; Chordata; Mammalia; Carnivora; Ursidae
Description: lncRNA (ENSUTTG00000014357.1)
Source: RNAcentral
CAUUUUGAGCUGUAUAUGUAAACAUUGGCGACAGACACGUUAGUGCAAGUGUCAUGUGCAAAUUCCAGAUAAGUAUGUGAAAAUGUGUACCCACCACACAUCCUUUCUCCCCUUUCAGGGACAAGAAUGCAGAAGUAUGAUGGUGAUCCAAGUCUGAGUGUGCAGUUGAUGGGCGUCCACUCAAGACUGACGCGUCAUACAUGAUGGACUCUGAAGGUGGCAUACUGUUUCUCCUCUGACCAAUGUGGGUGUUUACCAAAGGUGAACAACAUCCAAGAACUAUCCUCAUUGCCUACAUGGAGUCAGAUGCCAGCAGUGGCCUUGGCCAUACAACCUUGAUCCUGUCUUUUAAAAGCCUAAUUGAUGAUCAAGGG